Long non-coding RNA from Entelurus aequoreus (snake pipefish), 324 nucleotides. RefSeq lists it as uncharacterized. The transcript is spliced from 3 exons. The record is from RefSeq and is a predicted model, not a curated record. NCBI's taxonomy places the organism in Eukaryota, Metazoa, Chordata, Actinopteri, Syngnathiformes, Syngnathidae.
CUACCCAUGCUACUCAUGUUUAUCAUAGUUCAUGCUGUUCGUUCUGGUCACACAUCUCUUCAGACAGCAAGCAGCAGCAGCACAUUUUCACAUGCAGGUCCAGUUUUCUUACAGGAUAAUGAAGCAGUAGCAGCAGACUCAAUGUUACAAUCCAACAACCUGAAGAUAGAUUCUCAUCUUCAAUAGAUGCCUCUAUCAAAGUUGCCCCCAUUGAUCCUGCUGACAGGCCACACCAUUUGACUGACACACUAAGAACUGAAUUACUUAGGAGGUAAACUCAAACUUCACAUUCCCUAAAAGAGAUGGAAGAUGAUUCCAUCACCA